This 333-nucleotide unclassified non-coding RNA is filed under the name soil metagenome. RNAcentral's name for it is "partial contains 5.8S ribosomal RNA, internal transcribed spacer 2, and large subunit ribosomal RNA". The stretch from base 1 to 119 matches the Rfam family "5.8S ribosomal RNA", at positions 36 to 154 of the family's 154-position model. The record is from RNAcentral.
AUGAAGAACGUAGCGAAAUGCGAUAAGUAGUGUGAAUUGCAGAAUUCAGUGAAUCAUCGAAUCUUUGAACGCACAUUGCGCCCUGUGGUAUUCCGCAGGGCAUGCCUGUUCGAGCGUCAUUGACACCCUCAAGCUCUGCUUGGUCUUGGGCGUUUGUGCCUGCCGUUGCGCAGGGACUCGCCUCAAACUCAUUGGCAGCCUGCCUUUGCCGGUCUUUGCACAGCACAGUCGUGCCAAAGCCGCGGUGAGCAGGCGCUCCACAAGCCCUUUUCAGCUUGACCUCGGAUCAGGUAGGAAUACCCGCUGAACUUAAGCAUAUCAAUAAGCGGAGGA